ACGGAAGGCAGCAGUGGGGGAUAUUGCACAAUGGGGGAAACCCUGAUGCAGCGACGCCGCGUGAGUGAAGAAGUAUUUCGGUAUGUAAAGCUCUAUCAGCAGGAAAGAUAAUGACGGUACCUGACUAAGAAGCACCGGCUAAAUACGUGCCAGCAGCCGCGGUAAUACGUAUGGUGCAAGCGUUAUCCGGAUUUACUGGGUGUAAAGGGAGCGCAGACGGCAUGGCAAGCCAGAUGUGAAAUGCGGGGGCUCAACUCCUGAACUGCAUUUGGAACUGUCAAGCUAGAGUAUCGGGGAGGUAAGUGGAAUUCCUAGUGUAGCGGUGAAAUGCGUAGAUAUUAGGAGGAACACCAGUGGCGAAGGCGGCUUACUGGACGAUAACUGACGUUGAGGCUCGAAAGCGUGGGGAGCAAACAGGAUUAGAUACCCUGGUA
This 434-nucleotide ribosomal RNA is filed under the name uncultured Lachnospiraceae bacterium. RNAcentral's name for it is "partial 16S ribosomal RNA". It matches the Rfam family "Bacterial small subunit ribosomal RNA", at positions 341 to 792 of the family's 1533-position model. Lineage: Bacteria; Bacillati; Bacillota; Clostridia; Lachnospirales; Lachnospiraceae. The record is from RNAcentral.